This 1037-nucleotide ribosomal RNA is filed under the name Halobacillus sp. EM7. RNAcentral describes it as "bacterial SSU rRNA". It matches the Rfam family "Bacterial small subunit ribosomal RNA", at positions 293 to 1324 of the family's 1533-position model. The record is from RNAcentral. Lineage: Bacteria; Bacillati; Bacillota; Bacilli; Caryophanales; Bacillaceae.
UGAGAGGGUGAUCGCCCACACUGGGACUGAGACACGGCCCAGAUUCCUACGGGAGGCAGCAGUAGGGAAUCAUCCGCAAUGGACGAAAGUCUGACGGUGCAACGCCGCGUGAGUGAGGAAGGCCUUCGGGUCGUAAAACUCUGUUGUUAGGGAAGAACAAGUUCCGUUCGAAUAGGGCGGAGCCUUGACGGUACCUAACCAGAAAGCCACGGCUAACUACGUGCCAGCAGCCGCGGUAAUACGUAGGUGGCAAGCGUUGUCCGGAAUUAUUGGGCGUAAAGCGCGCGCAGGCGGUUCCUUAAGUCUGAUGUGAAAGCCCACGGCUCAACCGUGGAGGGUCAUUGGAAACUGGGGAACUUGAAGACAGAAGAGGAGAGCGGAAUUCCACGGGUAGCGGUGAAAUGCGUAGAUAUGUGGAGGAACACCAGUGGCGAAGGCGGCUCUCUGGUCUGUGCUUGACGCUGAGGCGCGAAAGCGUGGGGAGCGAACAGGAUUAGAUACCCUGGUAGUCCACGCCGUAAACGAUGAGUGCUAGGUGUUAGGGGUUUCCACCCUUAGUGCUGCAGUUAACGCAAUAAGCACUCCGCCUGGGGAGUACGGCCGCAAGGCUGAAACUCAAAGGAAUUGACGGGGGCCCGCACAAGCGGUGGAGCAUGUGGUUUAAUUCGAAGCAACGCGAAGAACCUUACCAGGUCUUGACAUCCUCGGACCACCCUAGAGAUAGGGUCUUCCCUUCGGGGACCGAGUGACAGGUGGUGCAUGGUUGUCGUCAGCUCGUGUCGUGAGAUGUUGGGUUAAGUCCCGCAACGAGCGCAACCCUUGAUCUUAGUUGCCAGCAUUCAGUUGGGCACUCUAAGGUGACUGCCGGUGACAAACCGGAGGAAGGUGGGGAUGACGUCAAAUCAUCAUGCCCCUUAUGACCUGGGCAACACACGUGCUACAAUGGAUGGUACAAUGGGCCGCGAAGCCGCGAGGUGAAGCAAAUCCCAAAAAGCCAUUCUCAGUUCGGAUUGUAGGCUGCAACUCGCCUACAUGAA